GAUGAACGCUGGCGGCGUGCCUAAUACAUGCAAGUCGAGCGAAUGGAUUGAGAGCUUGCUCUUAUGAAGUUAGCGGCGGACGGGUGAGUAACACGUGGGUAACCUGCCCAUAAGACUGGGAUAACUCCGGGAAACCGGGGCUAAUACCGGAUAACAUUUUGAACCGCAUGGUUCGAAAUUGAAAGGCGGCUUCGGCUGUCACUUAUGGAUGGACCCGCGUCGCAUUAGCUAGUUGGUGAGGUAACGGCUCACCAAGGCAACGAUGCGUAGCCGACCUGAGAGGGUGAUCGGCCACACUGGGACUGAGACACGGCCCAGACUCCUACGGGGGGCAGCAGUAGGGAAUCUUCCGCAAUGGACGAAAGUCUGACGGAGCAACGCCGCGUGAGUGAUGAAGGCUUUCGGGUCGUAAAACUCUGUUGUUAGGGAAGAACAAGUGCUAGUUGAAUAAGCUGGCACCUUGACGGUACCUAACCAGAAAGCCACGGCUAACUACGUGCCAGCCGCCGCCGCGG
RNAcentral lists this ribosomal RNA (515 nucleotides) under uncultured bacterium. RNAcentral's name for it is "partial 16S ribosomal RNA". It matches the Rfam family "Bacterial small subunit ribosomal RNA", at positions 28 to 523 of the family's 1533-position model. The record is from RNAcentral.